CUGAAGAAACAAGGGUCUUGAGACUGCGCCGUUCCAAUGUGGCGGCGUGUGCUCGACCCUUACUCUUUCAUCCAUUCACACCUGUGCACCAAGGGGACAUUGGGUUGUCCCCCUUUUUUAUAUUAUAAAUACCGAGUUUAUAUGUAUGUCAUAAUGCUCUACGGAGUAAUAAAAUAAAUA
This 180-nucleotide unclassified non-coding RNA is filed under the name uncultured Geastrum. RNAcentral's name for it is "sequence contains ITS1". Lineage: Eukaryota; Fungi; Basidiomycota; Agaricomycetes; Geastrales; Geastraceae. The record is from RNAcentral.